This 242-nucleotide ribosomal RNA is filed under the name uncultured bacterium. RNAcentral describes it as "partial 16S ribosomal RNA". It matches the Rfam family "Bacterial small subunit ribosomal RNA", at positions 15 to 253 of the family's 1533-position model. The record is from RNAcentral.
GAUCCUGGCUCAGAUUGAACGCUGGCGGCAGGCCUAACACAUGCAAGUCGAGCGGUAGCACAGAGGGCUUGCUCUCGGGUGACGAGCGGCGGACGGGUGAGUAAUGUCUGGGAAACUGCCUGAUGGAGGGGGGAUAACUACUGGAAACGGUAGCUAAUACCGCAUAACGUCGCAAGACCAAAGAGGGGGACCUUCGGGCCGUCUUGCCAUCAGAUGUGCCCAGAUGGGAUUAGCUAGUAGGG